Long non-coding RNA from Balaenoptera acutorostrata (minke whale), 5751 nucleotides. RefSeq lists it as uncharacterized. NCBI's taxonomy places the organism in Eukaryota, Metazoa, Chordata, Mammalia, Artiodactyla, Balaenopteridae. The transcript has 3 exons. The record is from RefSeq and is a predicted model, not a curated record.
AGAAGGUGACCAGAGGGCCCCCUGACGGCGCCCUUCCUAGCAUGAGCCAAUGGGGAAGGCGAAAAGGGGCGCGCGGGCAAAAAAGUCCCGGCGUGGCCCCGGCUCCCAAAGUUCCGUGUUCCGAGCUGCAGAAGUUUCUCGGGGUCUUAAAGUGGGAUUUCCCUGCCGUCUUCUCCCGUUGGUCACUGGCUCUUGAGGGGAGCCCUCUGGAGAGGCCCACAAGGCAAGAAACAGACCUCUUGCCAACAGCCAAGAGAGGGAUCUCGGAAGUGGAUCUUCUAGUCCCAGUCAAGCCUUCAGAUGACUGCAACCCUGCGUGACAUCUUGACUGCAACCUCAUGAGAGACCCUGAGCAAAAGCCACCCAGCUAAGUGACUCCCAAACCCCUGACCCUCAGAAGGUUCACUCUCUGUCUCUUGGAUUACUUGCCUUGGGGGAAGCCAGCUGCCAUGUUGUGAGGACGCUUAGGCAGCCUCUAUGCAGGCCCGCAUGGUGAGGAGCUGAGGCCUCCAGCCAAAGCCAGUGCGGGACUGAGGCCUGCCAACAACCGCGUGUGUGAGUUUGGAAUUGAAUCCUCUAGCCCCAGAUGACUACGGCCCUGCCUGAGAGCUUGACUUCAACCUCAUGAGAGACUCAGAAAAAACCAUCCAGCUAAGCUGCUCCCAGAUUCCUGAUUCUCAGAAAUUGUGUGACAUAAUAAAUGUUUGGGUUUUUAUUUUUUUAAGUUUUUUUUUUUCUUGAUGUGGACCAUUUUUAAAGUCUUUAUUGAAUAUGUAGCAAUAUUGCAUCUGUUUUAUGUUUUGGUUUUUUGGCCCUGAGGCAUGUGGGAUCUUAGCUCCCCGACCAGGGAUUGAACCUGCACCCCCUGCAUUGGAAGGCGAGGUCUCAACUACUGGACUGCCAGGGAAGUCCCAUAAAUGUUUGUUUGAAGGUACUGAGUUUUGGGGUAAUUUGUUACACAGUGAUAUAUAGCUAAUACAUCCAUGCCACUGUCAUUUAUCUCUCCAGACCAUCAAUCAUCCAAACAUUAUCCAUCUAUCAUCCAUCCAACGGUCUAUCUAUCCAGCUACCCAUCCAAACAUACAUCAUCCAUCCAUCCAUCCAUCCAAAUACCUAAGCAUUAUCCAUCCAUCUCUCUACCAUCAUCCACCUAGUGAAUUCAAUGACCCAUCUGUCCAUCCAUCCACUCAUCCCCUUAACCAUUCCACCAUCCUUCUCUAAAACUUAGAUAUGUCACCCAGAACCCAGAGGUAAAGACUGUUCCUUCCAUGCCAGCCCUUACCUGAGCUAUAUCUAGAUCUGUCUCCACUGCCUCAAGGUCUUUCCCAGAGGCAAAGAGUUUGUGUGCAUUCUCCACAUCCACAAGUAGUUCAUCUGGGAGAUCAGCCUGUGGGGAGAGAGAAUAGAGACUUAAGGAAAUCUUGAGCCUGGGAGAUGUUAAGCAGUAAGGCAGUCUAAACAUUUGAGCUCAGGGGUAGAAGUGAAGGUCAAAUGUCAGACAGCUGGGACACCAAAGGGGUCAAAUAGCAAAUGUGAGUUUCUGCACCUGGGUGUUCAAAAGUCUGAGUGCCUGGGCAUAAAUUUUUUUUAUAUAUAAAUUUAUUUAUCUUAUUUUAUUUAUUUUUGGCUAUGUUGAGUCUUCGUUGCUGCAUGCGGGCUUUCUCUAGUUGCGGCGAGCGGGGGCUACACUUCAUUGCGGUGCGCGGGCUUCUCAUUGUGGUGGCUUCUCUUGUUGCGGAGCACGGGCUCUAGGGGAGCGGGCUUCAGUAGUUGCGGCACGUGGGCUCAGUAGUUGUGGUGCAGGGGUUCUAGAGCACAGGCUCAGUAGUUGUGAGGAACGGGCUUAGUUGCUCCGCUGCAUGUGGGAUCUUCCCGGACCAGGGCUCGAACCAGUGUCCCCUGCAUUGGCAGGCGGAUUCUUAACCACUGCGCCACCAAGGAAGUCCCUCUGGGUGUAGAUUGACAGAGCAAACAUCAAAGGUUCGAAAGACCAAAGCCUGAGGCCAAGAUAUUCUGGCCCUCUGGGGUUAAAUGUCUUGGAGUCUGGAGGCAAACAAUGCCCAGUCCAGCUUCCCAAGGGUAAAGGGUGAGGUCAAAGGUCACAGUCUAUUUCUCCGGUGGAGAGAAGAUAUUUUGGGGCGGGGGGUCACAAAGGUGGGAAUAAGGAAAGUCAAGACCAGAUAAUAUGGACCCCUGAGUCAAAGGUCAGACUAUCUGGACCCUUAAGUAAAAACAGUAACCAUUAUGGUCUCUUGAAGCCUUUACUACGUGCUUCUCAUGAAUGAUUUCGUUGAACCCUCACAAUAACCAGUGAGGUGGCUACUUGCUAUUAUCUGAAUUUUGCAGGUGAAGAAACCGAGGCCCCACGUGUCCAGGGUAACACACCUAUAAAUGGCAGAGUCAGGAUUUGAAUCCAGGUUUGUGCAGUUUAAGACAUUAGACAUUCUGGACUCUCUGAAUUCAAACUUCAGAAAACCUGGAUGCUUGGUCACAAGCAAUGAGGGGAUCACCCAUGCCAGUCCCAAACAUCCUAGGUUUUGGUCCAGAUAACAGUUGAAGAAUCUGGAAUCUAGGUCUUGAAGGAACCCCCGACUCCAUGUCAUCCCAGCCUUUCCACUACAUAGAUGGAGAAACUGAGGCCCAGAGAAUAGCAAGGUUCAAGCCGAAGGCCAGAACAGCCUAGAUCCUGAGGGCUGAAGUGGAGGGGACUGCUUACCGGAAGAGGACUUCGGGGGCGUCGUGGGGCUGGGGGUGCGCUGGGGGUAGCGGCUACUGAAGUCCCAUCCAGGAUCGGUGCCAGGAGGCGACGGAGGUCAGGGCUACAGAAACGACGGGGGUCAGCGGCCAGGGCGGCCUCACUCAGGGCAGGGGGGUGCAGGAAGGCUAGGAUCCGGGGACCAGAGGUGUCUGCAGGACACAUCAAGAUGGGGAGGACACAGGAUGGUCACCCAGGGCUGAGGGGCAGAGCCCUCUGUCAACCCCCGGGAGCAUAGCUGACUAGGUCAUCAGCAUAGACCCCGUUCACAGCGCUGCUGAGUCCUGGAGAACUCCUGCUGUCCCUUCAGUUGCCCUGGAGGGGCUAACAUGGGGUGAGGGCACACAGUAGGCUGGAGACUGUAGCAAUUGCCCAAUGGUGGGGAAAUGUUUUAAUAUUUAAAAUUGACAUGGCUGGACCAUGGCACGUGACUGACCCGGUUCUCCGGUGGCACAGAAUAACAUUCAGCCUGGGGGGCUGUCAUGUUAGGAGAAAAGACUGGCCCAUGAUCCUCAAGGAGAUUCUAAGGUCCCUGGAGGUCAAGAUGUGGUCCCGAGCCAGUUCUAAGCCAGAAAAGGAAAGGAUAUGGGGGACCUCAUUACCACACCCAGGAGCAUGGGUUGCCAGCACCAGUUUGGAGACGGCGAGGCCCUGAAGAACAAACAGGGAGGGAAGCUCAUCCAUCCAGGAUUGGAGGGGGUGGGGUGUUAAGCAGAGGACAAGGAAGAGGUAGAAAGGAGCCAGACGUGGAAGGGUCAAGAUUACCGGAAGCCAAAGAACAGUGAAGUGGGAGCACGGAACAAAUGGAAAGUGGGGGCGAUUGGAAGCCACAGCAGGAUUCAGAGCAGAGAGCAACAAGACUGAAGCAAUCAUCCUGGGGACAGAGGAGAAGAGGGAAGAGGGAAGAGAGAAGGGCGUUCUGGGCGGAAGAAACUACAUGUGCAAAGGCCCUGAGGCAUGAAAGAGUUUGGUUUGUUCCCAGAGCACUAAGGAAGCUGGUGUGGCUCAGAGAGUAAGAAGGGGAGGGAAGCAGGUCACACAGGGCCAAGCGAGUGGCAUUAAGGCACUUGGGCUUUCUUCCGAGCAUCCUGGGGACACGACCCCUCCCAGCCCCAGCCCUGCCCCAUACCAAGGCUGUCACCGGGAUUAGGGGCAUCCUUCUGAGAGGGGGUGCCCCGCUGAACGUGUCUGCGAGAGUGUCGCUCCGUUUGCUCCAGGGACAGCACCACUUCGGUCUCUUCCACCCGGCUGGGGUACAGGGCAGAAAGGGGAGUUGGAGUCAGGGAGCAGCCCCCACAUAUGAUGUCCCGUUAGAGGAGGGCAGUCUCAUCCGGGGGCUGGUGGGCAUUGUGCAGAAAAUACUUUGCCACAUUGACUUGUUUUAAAGAUUUAAAUUUUGUUGAAUGCUUUUUAUUAUAAUAGCAUUGAAAAGAAAGUGAAGUGUGUCUUCCCCAGCUCCCUCUGUGGAAGGAAAGGCAGAAAAAAAGAGUUGGCAUUUAGCACAGCCUGGGGAGAGAGAGAGAGAGGAGAGACUGAGGGGCCAUGAGGGGCAGAGAGCAGGGAGAGUGAAAGGCAUGAGAACUAAAUAUUCUCUUUAUAGAUAUUUACUUAUAAAUACAUUCUUAUAAAUGUAUUGAUGAGGAAUAUGUACUUACUAUAUUCUUAUGUUGCCAAAUAUGAAGAAUUUAUGGGGAUAUAUUUUUAUGAAUAAGAGAUUUUAUUUAUGAAGCUUCUAUUCAUAGGCAUUUGUCACAUUCAAGGGAACGAAUUUAUAAAUACAUCCUUAUGUCCCUCGCGCCUUCCUGCCGCCCCCUCCCUCCCCUGUCUGUAGCUGCAGAAGCAACUCAAAUGUUCUCUCUGCAAAUUGGCUCCUGGAGAAUGGGUCUGGGGUGGAGGACCAGACCUUCAUUUGCAUCUCAUUUGCAGAACAAUAUCCAGGUCAGAAUGUGGGUGGUCCUUCUACCAGCUCUUUGAGAAGCUGUGACCCUUCCCCAUCCUCACCCACCCCUUCUGAGCUGGAAACAUUCCAAUUUAGGCUGGAUCCAAAGCCACCCCACCCCUCUUGAAAAACAUAACGUCGCACAGUCACACGUGUAUGCACCCUCGGCACUUACAGGCACAAACAGGAACUCCCAUAUACGCCCAAGUGUAUACAUCAGAUAUGCACACAUGCUCUAUACACUUGGGCUCACACAUAUGCAUACAUGCCACAUGAAAUGCACGCGUUCAUUCAUUCCACAGACAUUUCCUACACAACCAGUAAUACUUAGUGGUUAAGAGCAAGGGCUCUGCAGCCAGCAGCCUGGGUUCAAAUUCCAGCUCCGCCACUUAUGAGCUGUGUGACCUUGAGCAUAUGGCUGAACCUCUCUGGGCCUCAUUUUCCUCUCCUGUAAAGAGGGAAUAAUAAUAGUACCUCCUCCCCAGGUUGUUGUGAGGCCUAAAUGAGUUAGUGUAUGUCAAAUGCAUAGAACCGUGCCUGGCACGGGGUGAGCUCUAUGUAAGUAUUUGCCAUUAUUGUUUAUUGAGCAACUACUGUGUGCCAGACACUGUUCUAGGCGCUGGAGAUUCAGCAGCCCACAAGACAGACAAAACUCCCUGCUCUCAUGGGGCUUAAAUGCUAGUGGGAAAAGACAGACCUUCAAUAAAAGAUAUUAUUUGUUGGUAAAUGUAUCUAUCUAGUUACAAAAUAUAUAUUUCCACUAAUGAAGCACUUGAAACAUGGCUGGUUGGAAUUGAGAUGUACUGUCAGUAUAAAAUACACCCCAGAUUGAAAAAAUUGAGUAUGAAAAAGAAUCUAAAAUAUCUCAUUAAUAAUUUUUAAUAUUGAUUACAUGUUGAAAUGACAUUUUUGGAUGUAUUAGAAUACACGCACAUAUACCUAUAUUACAAUGUAUAAUACACUGAAUAGUGUAUUAUUAAUUACAUUAAUUAAUAAUGUAUUACUGAUUUAACAAUGUAUUAUUGAUGUGAUAUAUUAUUGUAUUUAAUAAAGUAUU